CACCAGGCACACAGACAGUUAGUUAGUUCUCUCACCUCUGCACACAGACAGUUAGUUAGUUCCCUCACCUCUGUACACCAGGCACACAGACAGUUAGUUAGUUCUCUCACCUCUGUACACCAGGCACACAGACAGUUAGUUAGUUCUCUCACCUCUGUACACAGACAGUUAGUUAGUUCUCUCACCUCUGUACACAGACAGUUAGUUAGUUCUCUCACCUCUGCACACAGACAGUUAGUUAGUUCCCUCACCUCUGUACACCAGUCAUACAGACAGUUAGUUAGUUCUCUCACCUCUGCACACCAGGCACACAGACAGUUAGUUAGUUCUCUCACCUCUGUACACCAGGCACACAGACAGUUAGUUAGUUCCCUCACCGUGCACACAGACAGUUAGUUAGUUCCCUCACCGUGCACACAGACAGUUAGUUAGUUCCCUCACCGUGCACACAGACAGUUAGUUAUUUCCCUCACCGUGCACACAGACAGUUAGUUAGUUCUCUCACCGUGCACACAGACAGUUAGUUAGUUCUCUCACCUCUGUACACAGAAAGUUAGUUAGUUCUCUCACCCUCUGGACACAGACAGUUAGUUAGUUCUCUCACCGUGCACACAGACAGUUAGUUAGUUCCCUCACCGUGCACACAGACAGUUAGUUAGUUCCCUCACCGUGCACACAGACAGUUAGUUAGUUCUCUCACCGUGCACACAGACAGUUAGUUAGUUCUCUCACCAGGCACACAGACAGUUAGUUAGUUCUCUCACCAGGCACACAGACAGUUAGUUAGUUCCCUCACCUCUGCACACAGACAGUUAGUUAGUUCUCUCACCGUGCACACAGACAGUUAGUUAGUUCUCUCACCAGGCACACAGACAGUUAGUUAGUUCUCUCACCGUGCACACAGACAGUUAGUUAGUUCCCUCACCUCUGCACACAGACAGUUAGUUAGUUCUCUCACCGUGCACACAGACAGUUAGUUAUUCUCUCACCUCUGACACAGGCACACAGACAGUUAGUUAGUUCUCUCACCAGGCACACAGACAGUUAGUUAGUUCUCUCACCGUGCACACAGACAGUUAGUUAGUUCUCUCACCUCUGGACACAGACAGUUAGUUAGUUCCCUCACCGUGCACACAGACAGUUAGUUAGUUCUCUCACCGUGCACACAGACAGUUAGUUAGUUUCUCUCACCUCUGUACACAGAAAGUUAGUUAGUUCUCUCACCUCUGUACACAGACAGUUAGUUAGUUCUCUCACCUCUGUACACAGACAGUUAGUUAGUUGUCUCACCUCUGGACACAGACAGUUAGUUAGUUCUCUCACCGUGCACACAGACAGUUAGUUAGUUCCCUCACCGUGCACACAGACAGUUAGUUAGUUCCUCACCGUGCACACAGACAGUUAGUUAGUUCCCUCACCGUGCACACAGACAGUUAGUUAGUUCCCUCACCGUGCACACAGACAGUUAGUUAUUUCCUCACCCGUGCACACAGACAGUUAGUUAGUUCCCUCACCUCUGUACACCAGGCACACAGACAGUUAGUUAGUUCUCUCACCUCUGUACACCAGGCACACAGACAGUUAGUUAGUUCUCUCACCUCUGUACACAGACAGUUAGUUAGUUCUCUCACCUCUGUACACAGACAGUUAGUUAGUUCUCUCACCUCUGUACACCAGGCACACAGACAGUUAGUUAGUUCUCUCACCUCUGUACACCAGGCACACAGACAGUUAGUUAGUUCCCUCACCUCUGUAACACCAGUCAUACAGACAGUUAGUUAGUUCUCUCACCUCUGCACACCAGGCACACAGACAGUUAGUUAGUUCUCUCACCUCUGUACACCAGGCACACAGACAGUUAGUUAGUUCCCUCACCGUGCACACAGACAGUUAGUUAGUUCCCUCACCGUGCACACAGACAGUUAGUUAGUUCCCUCACCGUGCACACAGACAGUUAGUUAUUUCCCCUCACCGUGCACACAGACAGUUAGUUAGUUCUCUCACCGUGCACACAGACAGUUAGUUAGUUCUCACCUCUGUACACAGAAAGUUAGUUAGUUCUCUCACCUCUGGACACAGACAGUUAGUUAGUUCUCUCACCGUGCACACAGACAGUUAGUUAGUUCCCUCACCGUGCACACAGACAGUUAGUUAGUUCCCUCACCGUGCACACAGACAGUUAGUUAGUUCUCUCACCGUGCACACAGACAGUUAGUUAGUUCUCUCACCAGGCACACAGACAGUUAGUUAGUUCUCCUCACCAGGCACACAGACAGUUAGUUAGUUCCCUCACCUCUGCACACAGACAGUUAGUUAGUUCUCUCACCGUGCACACAGACAGUUAGUUAGUUCUCUCACCAGGCACACAGACAGUUAGUUAGUUCUCUCACCGUGCC
Long non-coding RNA from Oncorhynchus kisutch (coho salmon), 2396 nucleotides. The record is from Ensembl. Lineage: Eukaryota; Metazoa; Chordata; Actinopteri; Salmoniformes; Salmonidae.